This 489-nucleotide ribosomal RNA is filed under the name uncultured bacterium. Its description in RNAcentral is "partial 16S ribosomal RNA". It matches the Rfam family "Bacterial small subunit ribosomal RNA", at positions 28 to 507 of the family's 1533-position model. The record is from RNAcentral.
GAUGAACGCUAGCGGCAGGCUUAAUACAUGCAAGUCGUGGGGCAGCAGGACUGUAGCAAUACAGUUGCUGGCGACCGGCAACCGGGUGCGGAACACGUACGCAACUUACCCUGAACUGGGGGAUAGCCCGGGGAAACCCGGAUUAAUACCCCGUAAUAUAAUGGAGUGGCAUCACUUUAUUAUUAAAGCUCCGGCGGUUCGGGAUGGGCGUGCGGCUGAUUAGGUAGUUGGUUGAGGUAACGGCUCACCAAGCCUACGAUCAGUAACUGGUGUGAGAGCACGACCAGUAACACGGGAACUGAGACACGGGCCCGACUCCUACGGGAGGCAGCAGUAAGGAAGAUUGGGCAAGGGAGGCAACUCUGACCCAGCCAUGCCGCGUGGAGGAUGAAGGCCCUCGGGGUUGUAAACUUCUUUGAGAGGGGACGAAACCUGUGUAUUCUUACGCAGUUGACGGUACCCGAGGAAUAAGCACCGGCUAACUCCGUG